This 255-nucleotide ribosomal RNA is filed under the name uncultured bacterium. Its description in RNAcentral is "partial 16S ribosomal RNA". It matches the Rfam family "Bacterial small subunit ribosomal RNA", at positions 57 to 305 of the family's 1533-position model. The record is from RNAcentral.
GCAAGUCGAACGAGAACGGAAUCUAGCUUGCUAGAUUUGUCAGCUAAGUGGCGCACGGGUGAGUAAUAUAUAGUUAACCUGCCUUCAAGAAGGGGAUAAUUGCUGGAAACGGCUUGUAAGACCCUAUAUGCCUUUAUUACAUAAGUAAGCAAGGGAAAUAUUUAUAGCUUGAAGAUGGGACUGUACAGUAUCAGCUAGUUGGUGAGGUAAUGGCUCACCAAGGCUAUGACGCUUAACUGGUUUGAGAGGAUGAUC